Molecule: ribosomal RNA, 253 nt
Filed under: uncultured Lachnospiraceae bacterium
Lineage: Bacteria; Bacillati; Bacillota; Clostridia; Lachnospirales; Lachnospiraceae
Description: partial 16S ribosomal RNA
Rfam family: Bacterial small subunit ribosomal RNA
Source: RNAcentral
UACGUAGGGGGCAAGCGUUAUCCGGAUUUACUGGGUGUAAAGGGAGCGUAGACGGCUGGCCAAGUCUGAAGUGAAAGCCCGGGGCUUAACCCCGGAACGGCUUUGGAAACUGGCCGGCUGGAGUGCUGGAGAGGCAGGCGGAAUUCCUAGUGUAGCGGUGAAAUGCGUAGAUAUCACGCAGAACUCCGAUUGCGAAGGCAGCAUACCGGCGCCCAACUGACGCUGAAGCACGAAAGCGUGGGUAUCGAACAGG